Molecule: ribosomal RNA, 496 nt
Filed under: uncultured bacterium
Lineage: Bacteria
Description: partial 16S ribosomal RNA
Rfam family: Bacterial small subunit ribosomal RNA
Source: RNAcentral
AUUGAACGCUGGCGGAAUGCUUUACACAUGCAAGUCGAACGGUAGAGGGGGCAACCCCUCGAGAGUGGCGAACGGGUGAGUAAUAUAUCGGAACGUGCCCAGUCGUGGGGGAUAACGUAGCGAAAGUUACGCUAAUACCGCAUACGAUCUAAGGAUGAAAGCGGGGGAUCGCAAGACCUCGCGCGAUUGGAGCGGCCGAUAUCAGAUUAGGUAGUUGGUGGGGUAAAGGCUCACCAAGCCAACGAUCUGUAGCUGGUCUGAGAGGACGACCAGCCACACUGGAACUGAGACACGGUCCAGACUGCUACGGGAGGCAGCAGUGGGGAAUUUUGGACAAUGGACGCAAGUCUGAUCCGGCUAUUCCGCGUGCAGGAUGAAGGCCCUCGGGUUGUAAACUGCUUUUGUACGGAACGAAAAGGUCUCUCUUAAUACGGGGGGCUCAUGACGGUACCGUAAGAAUAAGCACCGGCUAACUACGUGCCAGCCGCCGCAGUAA